This is a non-coding RNA of Stegodyphus mimosarum, 73 nucleotides long. The record is from Rfam. Lineage: Eukaryota; Metazoa; Arthropoda; Arachnida; Araneae; Eresidae.
GCCUUCGUGGUGUAGUGGUCAGCACGCUGGGUGCGUAUUCCAGAGGUCCGUGGUUCGAGUCCCGACGAAGGCU